This 540-nucleotide ribosomal RNA is filed under the name Triticum aestivum (bread wheat). RNAcentral's name for it is "partial small subunit ribosomal RNA". The record is from RNAcentral. Lineage: Eukaryota; Viridiplantae; Streptophyta; Magnoliopsida; Poales; Poaceae.
AUGGCGAUGGAGUGGAGGAAGGUUGAUAGUGAGAGAAGAGAGGAGAUCAAGGAGAGCAAUGAGAUGGGCACAGAGGUGCUCCCGGCCAUUGAUAACAAGGGCAAGGAGCCGGUUCAUCCAAUGCCCGAGGUGGUGCUGCCGCCCACCGCCGAGGAAGAACCGAAGACACCAACGGUUGGCAACAACAAGCGCAUGGAGGAGCCCCCAAGCAGCAAGUGCCGCAACUAUGACCACUCCCAUGAGGAGGGUGGCCCAACUCACUUCUGCAAGGUCAUCCUUGCACCGAAGUUUGAGUGCAUCCCCAUGCCCCUGGACUUCACCAAGCACUUCGACGCGGUGCCGGCGGAGUUCAAGCUGAGGAACAACACCGGCUGCUCCUGGAGGGUGACGGUGAAGCUGAUGAAUGGCAGGAUCGGCUACAUGGUGACGUUCAAGCUCCUGACUCCCGACACCCUCAAGGUCAUCAUCUUCGAAGACGAUGGCAUUGAGGUGGUCAACAAGUGCGGGAAGCACGAUGAAGCCUUUGUCGCCAGGGAAUAG